Molecule: long non-coding RNA, 2024 nt
Organism: Lynx canadensis (Canada lynx)
Lineage: Eukaryota; Metazoa; Chordata; Mammalia; Carnivora; Felidae
Exons: 4
Source: RefSeq, a predicted model, not a curated record
AAUCAAGUACCUUAUGUUAGAGUUCUUAUCACAUGAAGCUCCAAUUAGUGGUCAGGGUACCUCUGGGUCCUCAAUAACUAUUUGGGAAAUGAAUGAGUAAUACUAUGUGUCAGCCCUUUCUGCCUGCUCAGAAGAGAUGUCUGCCUGUUAUUCAGGAAAGUUUGGGCACGUAUUUCCAACUAAGAACAGCAGAAAAGUGAUAACGGGAUGAGAUGUUGACCAGCAGCUCACAGACGAUGGUUAAAUUGUCAAAGAGGAGAGGAAGUAUUUACUUCUGUUUUAGAAGCAGGUCUUCCUGGUAGAUUAGUGAAGAAAACCUGACCUGAAAUUUUUAAUUAUGGUACAAGAAGGAGCCCAGACCACUGUUUCAUGUUAUGCCUGGUUUGGCUUUCAUAAAAUAGAAGCACAGAAUUGGGGAACACUAGAAGAGAAAGGGUCAUCAGAGCUCAGUGAGCAGAAGCCCCUGAUUUGCAAGUACAAGCAGCAGAAGCUUGCAGCCCUCUCACAGGUUAGCAGUUCCCAAAUCCUUCGGUUCUUACUUACUGGAACUGCACAAGUCUUUCACAUCUCAGGGUUCAUAACAUGUAGCAGUUUUUACAAUUAGGUCUAUGAAGACCUUUCACUCUUUUAGCAUUUUCCCCUCACUAUGGAUGAGCAGACAACUCCAGAGGAGGCGUCAGGUAUUUUAAAUACCAUCUGCCUCAUGCCUGUCACAUCUCAGCCAUCCUUUAAUUGGAAAGGAAGGUUUUCUUCUUUGCCUUCCAAGUUUCUGAAACCCAUUUCUAUGUUAUUCCUUCCCCUAUAACGUUACUAUAUCCUUAUGAAGAUGUAGUGCGGAAGAGGUAGAAGUGGUGCUGCUUCCAUGUGCAGGUUUAAGUUAGGAACUAUCUACAAUUAGCUAAAUUCAAUGAAACAUUUGUGGCCAAAGAAUUAUAUGUUUUUGGUUUUCUUUCCUAUAGUGUAGUAAUAGGAGCUUUUAACUCCUAUUGGACCUGUUUGGGAGUUUUCCUAGUUCUGCCACUUAGUCUCUCUGCAUGAGAACAUCUUAUCUGCUCUGAGCCCUGACUUUUAUUCUCUAUAAAAUGAGGAGAAUAAGUGAAAUCUUUAAUUUUUUUCUUAUGGAAAAAAACUAAGUUUGUGGAAGACUUUCUGGUAACUGUCCCGCUUCAACACUAUCUUAUUGAUUUUUGUCAGAGCUCUAUUUUUUUAUUACUUAUUUUUAGAGUCAUAUAAAAUACUGAUAAAAGCAUUUACUUUCUUAAAUUAUAUCACAGUUUCUCUAAUUUGUCCUCUGCUUCUUUCUUAAAUGAUUCAACAAACACUUACUGCCUGCCAUAUGUUUGGUAUUGUGUAGGGGAAUGCAGAGAGAAAAGUUGUUUGUAUUUCUUUCCUUCAAGAUUUAUAAUUUAAUUGGAAAGAUUAUUAGCUGCAAUGUAAGAGACACUUUGUAUUGUUACUCAUCUUGUUUCUGUUUCUGCGUGUUGCUUUUUUUUUGGGGGGGGUCUUCUCUGAUUGCUUCAGAUGAUUGGUAAUAAUUUGCUCCUACUUAUAUUAACCCUUUUUCUUUUGCCCUCUGGAAUCCUCAUUCAUUUUUAGCAUCAAUUAUGUGCAAAAUACUAUUCUGGGUUCUAUAGAAGACAACAAAGAUACAUUAGAUAUAAUAACCAAGAAAGAGUGUAUAAUCCAACAGAGCAGAUAAAAAAGAUACACAAACAGAAUUCAAAUCAUAAGAGAGGGAGAAGAAGGCAGUGGUCAUUUCAAGUUGAAGGGAUCAAAGAGUCCUUAAUGAAAAGCUGAACUUCAGGUAGAUUCUUGCAGAAUGUGUAGGAUUUUGGUCAACAAGAAUUGGGAUGGGCAAAGGCAUCCUAACUAAAUGGUAUUAACAAAAAUAUUGGAGUAAGUUAUAGUAAUGAAUCAGUCUGGAAUCUUGUGUAGAUAUACAUGUGGUUGAAGAGUAGAAGAAAUUAAAAUGUGUCUUGAAUAUGUAGAUUCUUGAAUGGCAUACUGUGGGAAUUUUCUCUUUU